Molecule: ribosomal RNA, 547 nt
Filed under: uncultured Bacteroidota bacterium
Lineage: Bacteria; Pseudomonadati; Bacteroidota
Description: bacterial SSU rRNA
Rfam family: Bacterial small subunit ribosomal RNA
Source: RNAcentral
AUGCAAGCUAAAGGGGCAGCAUAAUAGUAGUAAUACUACUGGUGGCGACCGGCAGACGGGUGCGUAACGCGUAUACAACCUACCCUCUAAAUGGGGGAUAACCCGGAGAAAUUCGGACUAACUACCCCGUAGGUAUAUCACUGGCAUCAGUUAUAUAUGAUAGAUUUAUCGAUUAAGGAUGGGUAUGCGUGACAUUAGGAAGUUGGUGAGGUAACGGCUCACCAAUCCGACGAUGUCUAGGGGUUCUGAGAGGAAGGUCCCCCACACUGGUACUGAGACACGGACCAGACUCCUACGGGAGGCAGCAGUGAGGAAUAUUGGUCAAUGGACGCAAGUCUGAACCAGCCAUGCCGCGUGCAGGAAGAAUGCUCUAUGAGUUGUAAACUGCUUUUAUACAAGAAUAAUAAGCUAUACGUGUAUGGUGAUGAAUGUAUUGUAUGAAUAAGGACCGGCUAACUCCGUGCCAGCAGCCGCGGUAAUACGGAGGGUCCGAGCGUUAUCCGGAUUUAUUGGGUUUAAAGGGUGCGCAGGCGGGACCUUUAAGUUA